AAUCGUGCUGAUUUUCAUUAAGUGAAAACCCAAAAAUCACUGCUCUAUAGCUAGAAUGUCAUUUCGGAGGCGAAAACACUUGGCAAAGUAUUUCAUUUUGAUAAAAAUAAUAUUUUUUUUUUGCCUAAGUCAUGUUAUUCUUUCAAAAAAGAAAAGAAAAAUUUAAUUCAUUUUCUUUGUUUUCUUCUUCGUUGUUUACUUCAAUCUCUCUGUUCAUCCUCCAUCUUCUACUUCAGUUUGGUUUUUUUUUUUCAAUCGAAGAAACCACAUAAGGAUGGGAUCUCGUCUUUCCCAAACUCCUCCAUUUGGCACUCUGUAUAUCAAUCAUCAUCGUCUCCACCAAACCCUAAACCACGAUCUCUCCUUGAACGACGAUUACGUCUCAUAAUCAUCUCCGCAAGACCUCGCAAACCCCUCAAUUUCACUCUUUCGUGCGUCUCCUCAGAUCCCAACGCCUCUGAUUCGAUAAAGAGAGACGAAUGCACCAGUAGCCAUGGCUGCACAGACUGAGACAGCUUUUCUUAAGCAACCCAAGAAUGAAGCUUUAUCAUUUUGCUUUACGAGUUGGUCCUUAUGAUGACGAUUAUGUGUGUGUUUCAGCUAGAAGAAAUCUGGGAAAGGAAAGAAACAUGUUAAAGGUGGAAACCGUUUCCGGAAGAACAUUGGUUUGGGUUUCCAGACUCCCCGUGACGCCAUUGAAGGUUUGAUGUAGAUUUACCUCUGUUCGUUUCUCUCCGCUCUUCUAUAUUUCACUCAUGUGCAUGCACAAUUGUGUUUGUGUGACUAGGUCGUCAAUGAGGUAUUUCAGAUUAGGCGUAAAAUUCUCUACUUUCAGUUUUGAUGAGUAAGUCUGAGACUCUUGUGAUUGCAUGAACUGAUGUUCAAAGAAGAGGUCACAGUUAAGCUUGUGGGUGAUUCGAUAGAUAAAGACUCCAACUUUUCUUUUUUGUUCAACUGCAUUGCUUCCUGCAACUUUUGCGUCCAUUGUAAGAACCUUCGCUGAUGUUGCAAUGUUGUUCCCUUCUUUCUUAGUUUUCAAUUCUGCUAGGUAGUUAAAAGUCUCUGCCUUUGCUCUGUUCUUGGCUAAAGUUUGUCUUUUUGCCUCGUUCUUGGCUAAAGUUAUACUUUUUCCCCUGUUUUUGUUACCAUCUCUAUGCUCUAUUUUACAAUUUUAAGUCUGACUUUGGCAAUCACAGGAAGAAAAAAGAAGUUUAGUUUGAUCAAGAUGAAGCCUCUCAUUCUUAGCUAAAGUUAACUUAAUGAUCAUUCUUCUGUUCCAAACUAGGUUCCGCUAGUUGUUAUUGUUUUUGUCUCAGUUUUUAACCAAGCAUGUGUUCUUAUAGACAGAUGAGCUUAAAGCAGUUGGAGUUGAUGAAGUGGUUCUGGCCAUCAAUUACCAACCAGAAGUGAUGCUUAACUUUUUGAAAGACUUUGAAGCAAAGCUGGAAAUCAAAAUCACUUGCUCACAAGAGACUGAGCGUAUGGGUACGAUUGAGUCCAGCUUGGGAAAUAUUAAGGAAGUUAUUAGUCUUAUAUAUGUUAUAUUUGUUAACUUAUGAAUUAUUUUGGCCUUGUGUAUAUUUUGGAUGGUAGUUAGUCAAUGUAGUGGUUGCCUUGGAGAUGCAGGAGAAGUCCGAUUGCCAUUGAUAUUAUCAUGGCAUUUGUAGUUUUUAUAUGUUGGAGCACUUCUGGUUUCUAAUGAGUAAUGAGCAAGAUUAUGUUUAAAAUGGUCAAUAAAAAUUUAUUUUAUUUA
Brassica napus (rape) is the source of this 1753-nucleotide long non-coding RNA. RefSeq lists it as uncharacterized. NCBI's taxonomy places the organism in Eukaryota, Viridiplantae, Streptophyta, Magnoliopsida, Brassicales, Brassicaceae. The transcript is spliced from 2 exons. The record is from RefSeq and is a predicted model, not a curated record.